AAAAACGAAAUGUUACUAGAACCUUCGAUGAAAAAGCCCUAAAACCCUCUCCUUGUAUCUUCACGAUGGACCCAGAACUCAGCAGCUGAAUCUCACCAAAUCUUCUCGGACACUAACCAACCGCCUUCGCUCUCCUCGUUCUUCUUGUGAGUGUCUCUGUAAUCGAUUACAUAAUUUACAGUUUGUUUUGUGAACUCAAUACUGAAAUAGUAAUGCCUCUUUGAGUAGCCAUAUGAACACGUUUUGUUUCUAUUUCAUAUCUGGCUUAGUUAGGAGGCAGAAAUUAAACUAUGUGAACCCAAAAGAUUGGGUCUUUUGGAACUCACUUAUACCAAGGUCUUUUGAGUGGACUCUUUUGGUAUUUUUCAUCAAUUGUCCUUCAAGCAGCUUUGGACAUUUUCUUUACCCCUUCAAGUCUUCAACUCUAAUUCUUUUCUCGAGAUUUAUGCUAAUUUAUACGCACGUAAAACUUACUUUAUGAAAUGGGACUUUUGUAGUCUUAGAUAGUACUUAAAUGAAUUGCUGACUAGAUUUGUAUAUAUGUAUUCCUUUGGAAGUGUCACUUUUGAGAAUGUAAGUGUUUGUGGAUUGCCAAUUAGAUUGUUCAAUUUUAGAUCAAUUGGUAUUUUUGACAUCCUAAAGUGUAUUGUGAAUUGCUAAUUAAAUUGCCUCAAGAAUUCCUGGCGGAAAAUUCCAUUUGGUUCAGACAUGGGCAGAUAGUAAGAACUAACAAAUGAUGAGAUGAAAGUCUCAGAGUUGUUCUUUCUUGAAUUAGUUUGAGGGAUAGGAACGAUUUCCUUCCCUUUCGUAUAGGUAAUUUCAAACAUUUAUACUAUAUUUUAUGAAUAAAAAUGUAUCAACUCUUUAAUUUUAAUUGCUAGUUUAGCGGCAUUUAGAGAGAAGAUCGAUCAAUGAUGAAAUGAUUGUAGUCGAUCAUCUGACCAAGGGGGGCUUUUUGCCACUGACCUCUCUUUUGUCAAGAUCUGAUACAUUCUAAUUCUUGCAAUUUUAAUGGGAGGCAGAUGAUGAUUCAUAUUAUUUGGGCUGAUUACACCAUGAUGCUCCAAAUUCGAGCUUUUUAAAACUGAUGCCACCCCAUUAGCUUUUAUUUUUUCUUUUGCUUUAUAGAAUCAUAUUGCUGAAUAGUAAAGCAAUCGCAGUUGCCAAGUUAAACAUUCUACUAAAAAUUAUUCUUGAACGAUCGUUCUUGUAACUGUAACUGGAGACCAGAAGAUUGUUUACAGUUGUUGAAACUGAGGCAGACCUGUAUUCUCCAACUAGGUUUGUCUAUGUUCUUCAAGUUGAAUCUGUCUUUAAACUUUAAGUUGAUCACUACAAUUAUGAUUUAGUCUCAAACAAAACGGAAUGUAAAAAAAGUAUUCUUUUUUAAACUUGUUUGUCAGUGUAUAUGGUCAAAAUCGAGUUUGCCCUUUGUGUGACUAAUCAAGAUUGAUGCAUGAUGGAUCGAGGUUCGUCAUUGUAAUAUCGAGCUAUGAUGUGAAGUUGGGCUGUUGAGUUCGAGCCCUAGAAAUUUAUCAAGGUCGGGAUCAGCCAAGAUCGAUAUCGAGCCAGAUAGAGGUCGAGCAAAUAGUGACCGAUCGAGACCGAGAUUGAGCCCAGAUUGAGGUCGAGCGAAUAGAGGGCGAUCACGAUUGAGAGCGCCGAGUUCGGGCUCGAGCCAAGGGACAAAAGAGCCGUUAUAGUAGCCGCAUUUGGGGAAAGAAUCUUGACGGAAAUCAAGGAAAAACAAUUAAUUAAUAUAUCAUGGAAUUCUAACUAUGUUUUUAAUUAUAUCUAAAGUAUGAUUUCUCUAAUAUAUUAAGAGUAGGUUAUCAUUGAUUUAGGAGACUGGAUUCAUUCAUAUAUUCAUACACACUCAUAUUCAAAAAUUAUUGAGAUUUGUAACAUCUAGCAAAUAUUAUCCUUUUUGGGAUUUUUGAUAUUGAUAUCUUUUUUAUUUAUAAAUCAUUCUCUAUUCAAUUUGGGUUUGUAUUCAUUCCUUUUUACGGUCAAUAUUUGAUUUAUCUCUACUUACUUUUCCGAUUUGUA
RNAcentral lists this long non-coding RNA (2049 nucleotides) under Nicotiana tabacum (common tobacco). Lineage: Eukaryota; Viridiplantae; Streptophyta; Magnoliopsida; Solanales; Solanaceae. The record is from RNAcentral.